RNAcentral lists this unclassified non-coding RNA (861 nucleotides) under Penaeus japonicus. RNAcentral's name for it is "extensin-like, transcript variant X6". Lineage: Eukaryota; Metazoa; Arthropoda; Malacostraca; Decapoda; Penaeidae. The record is from RNAcentral.
AAUGUUGUUUUGACUCAUUCCUCCGGCCAGCUGUAAACAUCAGUUCCUCCGAUCAGGUCACGGGACACGGCAGUCUGUGCAAGAUGAAGUCUUUUCUCCUCUUUUUUACUCUCUUGGGCCUUAUGGCAGCGGCCCAUGCACUUGGAAAUGAUCCAAUUAUAUCAGACAACUGCACUGUAAUAGACAACUGUGAGUUAUGUCUGAACAGUUCCUGUCACUGGCUGCAAUGUAUCAAUGAUGAUCCAAGUUGUCAGGAUAACCCAGAGUCUGAAAUGUGUCAUGAUGUCCCUUGUACCAUUCCCACAACUGUAGCCCCACCGACUGAACCUCCAACAGAGCCGCCAACAACUGAGGCCCCCGCCACUACAACCCCUGCCCCAACAGAACCUCCGACUCCACCACCCACAGAGCCUCCGACCACAGAAGCCCCCACUGAACCCCCUACUGAGGCACCUACAACACAGCCUCCGACCACAGAAGCCCCCACCAGGCCCCUACUGAGGCACCUACAACACUGCCACCAGCGACAACCACUGAGAAACCCUGCCCGACUCCAGAUGGAAGGCAUUUUGAUGCUCCAAGCUUCUUUGGUGGCAUGGUUCUUGCUGUGGGCAUCCUGGCAGUAGCCUACGCUGCUUGGCGUUUCUACAAGUCUAGGAAUGAGCGUAACUACCAUACCUUGCAAACUGUGUACUGAUGGAACUGCAGGAAACAGUCCACAUGUAGCUGGCUGGACCGGAGUAGUGAAGCUAGUGCCUACAAUUGUCCUUUGAGUAAAUGUCAAACUCCAACUUUCAGAUUGGAAAAGGUAACCACUUGUCACAGAAUAGAAGUUAGAGUAAAUAAUAAUAAUAAAAAAAA